Molecule: long non-coding RNA, 535 nt
Filed under: Homo sapiens (human)
Lineage: Eukaryota; Metazoa; Chordata; Mammalia; Primates; Hominidae
Description: USP2 antisense RNA 1
Source: RNAcentral
GGCUGGGGCCACCCAGGCAACCGAUAUACACAGAGAACCACGUGGAGGAAAAGCACGCGAGUUUGGAGCGGGUGGAGCAGGAACAGAGGUGGACUGGAAUGUCACACGACGGGGCAGCUGGAAGGGCACCACUGAGUUCAGUACUUCAAAAUUGCCGUGCUCUACCUCUCCCCAGUGCACAAAAACACUCUCCACACCAAGCUGCUGCUGCUGGGGGAUGGAGGGAUGGCGUCAGCGAUUCAAGACUGUUUUUCCUACCUGUUCAGCACUUCUUUCAGCGAUAUGAAGUUAAAUCCAGAGUCACACAGGCUAGAGUGCAGUGGCAUGAUCUCAGCUCCCCACAACCUCUGCCUCCGAUGUUCAAGCGAUUCUCCUGUCUCAGCCUCCUGAGUAGCUGGAAUUACAGGGCAUGCUUUCUCGCCUGCCGGCCUUCCACCAUGGGAUGAAGCAGCAAGAAGGCUCUUGCCAGAGGCAGACCCCUCGACCUUGGACUUCCCAGCCCCCAGAACUGUAAGAAAUAAAUCUCUCUUCUUUA